UUAGUUGCCAUGGGAACUUAGUAACAGACUCUUGGCCCUCCCCUGCCCCCCUCCAGGAUGGGGGCGGGGUUUGAGGAGGCAGGGGGAGGAGUUGGGGCCAGGUCCCGCCCCUCAGCCCCGGCCUCCCGGGGCAGCCGGGUUGUACCAUGUAGGGGAGGGGGGAUCUAUCCACAUACCUCAGGUAACAGGGAGGUGCGAGGGUGGGGGGAGGGACUGGGCGGACCAAAGGCCGGAGGGGAGGGGGUUCUGAGUAUGGCGAAAGGCUUGAUAAUGGGACCGCUUGGGGAGGGGGAGGAGGCAGCCCGGCGGGGCAAAUGGGGGUCCCAGCCGGGCUGGGCCCCUGGGCCCCGGGUCUGUACAAUACGGUUUGCUAUAAAACUCAAAAUCUUCCAGCCACUGCUGCCGCGUUCGUGUGUGUCUCUUCGGCGUUGGGGUCGGGGGGUAGAGCUGGCCUGACUGGAAUGCUCAUGCUUUGGGCCUCCCUAAGGGGGCUGUUUGGAUGGAUCUGGGAGUUCUUCGCGUCCCCUAGGCUUCCCGGAACUGAGGAUGCCGGACGUCCUGUGAUCCCUAAAGGUGGAUAGGUUUACCUUUCGCCAGCUCAUCAUUUAGGGGGGAGGGGAUUGGAGGUCUGGACAUCUAGGGGAUGUCCAGGUGUGCCUCAAUGGUCCAGGGCUCGGGGACCCCCAAGUCACACGCUGGGGCUAGGCGUUUGCCUCCUCGGGGUUCCGGCACCUGGGCGAUAGUGAAGUGGCCUUGGGUCGCGGGGUCCCUCGGGAUCUCGGCCCACAGUCCCCCGGCUCCACCCCAUCAUGUGGCCACUCCGACUCCGCCUCCGUCCUAGUUCCGGUUUCGGCCUCUGCUGUCCCGCUUCGGCCCCUAGGUCUCCCUGCAGACGCCUGCUCUUUCGGCUUCGCCUGGGCGCCUCUUCGUGGGAGCCCGCCGCCCGCAUCCCCGCUAGCCCCGCCGUGGGAUGGGGCCUUCUGCCGGCCGGGGCCUGCCCUCCUGGGGCCCCCAGGGCGACUCGGGGCCCCCGUGACCGCCCAGCCCGCCCAGUGCUGCAGCCCCCAGGAUGAAGGGCGGCGAGGGGGACGCGGGCGAACAGGCCCCGCUGAACCCGGAGGCCGAGAGCCCCGCGGGCUCGGCCACGUACCGAGAGUUCGUGCACCGGGGCUACUUGGACCUCAUGGGGGCCAGUCAGCACUCGCUGCGGGCGCUCAGCUGGCGCCGCCUCUACCUCAGCCGGGCCAAGCUCAAAGCCUCCAGCCGCACGUCUGCCCUGCUCUCGGGCUUCGCCAUGGUGAGGGGAGGGAAGGGGCGCACAGGGUGGGGGUGAGGCACAUGGGGGCAUGGGGUCGUGGACGAAGUAAACGGGUACCCACGGGAGACGGGACAGAGGAAGGGGUUUUUAAGAGGUAAAGGAGUACAAACAAGGUCCCAAGGGACUACUCCAGUCCCUUUUUCUGAGUGUGUGUGUGUGUGUGUGUGUGUGUGUAAGUGUGUAAGAAGACCCCUAGCAUAAACCGGGCCAGAAGGAGGAUAAACAAGCCUGAAAGGUGUCCUGAGGGGAGACAAAUCACCAACGGCGAUAUAUAUGCAAGGGUGGGGCAAAGAGGUCCCAAAGGAGCACGUCCCAGGCAGAAGUCCUUACUAGGUUACCAUGAGAGAUUCAAAGGCAAAUCAGAGUUUGGUGGGAGCUAUAAAAACAGGCCUGGGAGAGUCAAAGACAAAAAAAUGAAUAAACGUAGUCACCCAGUUGAAGGUGGCCCCAUCCCAAAGAGGGUGGCCAGUUCCUAGCAAUCACAAAGAGUGCUUGGUGUAACGCAGGACAGCUCUGAGCAGAGAGGAUGCCUGUGAGGAAGCUGCUGGGGAAAGAAGCUGAUUAGGAAGCUGAUAUGUGAUUUCGGAACUGAUAAACUGCAGGUGUGGGAGGAUGAUAUCAGCCAACAGGCCCAGCGGAGGAAAUGGGACUGAGGGAAUCUCAGGGUCAGGAGGAGUCAGCAGACACAAACCCUGGCUCCUCCCAGCCUGUGGCCAGCUGUGUGACCCUGGACAGGCAUCCUCCCCCUCGCAGUCCAGUGGGAAACUGAGAUCAUGGAGGGUGCGCUCUCUGUAGCUUGCAAGUACCCGCCCCAGGAUGAGCUGAUUCUUGUCAUCAAACUCUAGAUCCCAGCAUGUCAGAACAAGACACGCAUCAGAGAUGGCUCAGCCUGUCUGUUAAUUGGAGAGGCAUGGAAGCCAAGGCCCAGAAUGGGGCAGUGCCUCUGCCAAGAGCACUCAGCAGAUGAAGGAUACAGAAUGAACUAGGGCCCAGGAUCACUGGACUCAGUUAGUCCAGAGUUUCCCUACCAACACGACAGGAAAAAGCAAGCAAGCUGGUGGGGAGUCUUCAUAGGAACAUACGGACAUGGGGAUAGAGGAGUCACAACACUAGGUGAUUUGGGUUAGUCUCUGCCUCUUUCUCUUUACCAUAGCCUAUGUAUUUGAAUGAUGAGAGGAAAAGUCUACCCUUAAGGGUCAUCCGAGUUCUAUCAUUUUCUGUAUAGGGACCCAGUAUCCAUAGGCCAGUCCAGUUUUCCUGAUGUGGGGUCAGCUAGAGACAGUGAAGUGGCUCUUUUUCUCCUGUACAGACUGUAGAGGGAAGGAAGCAACUUCCUGGACCUAGCUGAGAGAGGUCCCCCACCCCCAUCCAUCCCAUGGUCCAGCCUGUUCCCAAGGGGACAAUCUGGCCUGCUGCUGGACUUGCAUGUUGCUGAGGUGACAGCUUAAGCACCAGGGCCUUCUCUGCAGGAUCAAACGACCAGAUGAGUAGGUUCUGGGGGCAGACUGGCCCCACUCUGGCCAGGGGAGAGCAAGACUGGGUCAGGCUCUGGGAGAAACCAGGACUAGGCCUGGCCCAGAUCACUGUCAGUGGAAAACACCUGCUAACACUCACCAUGGCCCAAUUUCCCAAAAUACUUAGCCUUGUCUUCCUACCACCACCUUCCAGGUUCUGUACCUUCUUUCUCUCAGCCCCAGAGCAAUAUAAUGGAUCCUGUAAGAACUAGGCAUGGGGAAAGAUCCAGAUUCUGGUAUCUGGGUAGCCUGGGUUAGAAUAACAUACAAAUUGUAUUACACUGUCAUGCAGUACCAGGCAAUGUGCUUAGAGCUUUUACGUGUAUCACGUUUAUUAUUCUAUGAAGUAGGUACCACUACUAUGGCCAUUUUACAGAUGCGAAAACAGGAUCAGAGAUGUUAAGACACCUGCCCAGGAUCCCACAGCAAGUAAGUGGCAGAAUUUGAACUUAGGUAGUCUGGCUCUAGAAUCCAAAUUUACACAAGCCUAGAACAGGAUCACCAGCGCAAAUGUUUGCAAAGGACAGGCAGUUUAAUAUGGACUCCCAAGUUGGCUGGGUGGGGACUGUGGCUAUCAGGAGACCCCAUGACCUGUCCAAAGGGAGCAGGGGAGCAGUCAUGACUCAAUUCUAGCUGGUAGUUGCCAUGCAGGAAUGUGGGCCUAGUGUAACCAGAUCUUCCAAAUUUUCAAGAGGAUCCAGAAAUAGAGAUAUUUAUAUGAAAUCUCUAGAGUCAAAAAAAAAAUUUUUUUUUAAUGUUUAUUUAUUUUUGAGAGGCAGCAUGAUCAGGGAGGGGCAGAGAGAGAGGGAGACACAGAAUCUGAAGCAGGCUCCAGGCUCUGAGCUGUCAGCACAGAGCACAAUGCAGGGCUCAAACUCAAGCCGUGAGGUCAUGACCUGAGCCAAAGCUGGACGCCUAACUGACUGAGCCAUCCAGGUGCCCUGAAAUCUCUAGAGUUUUAAAAGUUCAACCUAAUUCCUUAAAAAACACAGUGUAUGAGCCAAGCAAAACAUGUGCAAAGCUGGCUUGGAUUCAUGGUAUACCAAUUUGCAGGCACUAGCCUUAGACUUCGGUGUUUUUUUUGUUUUGUUUUUAAUUUUUUUAAUGUUUAUUUUUUGAGAGGAAGAGAGAGAGUGCAAGUGGGGGAGAUGCAGAGAGAGAGGGAGACACAGAAUCUGAAGCAGGCUCCAGGCUCUGAGCUGUCAGCACAGAACCCGACGCCAAGCUCGAAUCCAUGAGCCAUGAGAUCAUGACCCAGUUAACCAACUGAGCCACCCAGGCACCCCAGACUUCAGUGUUAAUAACACUAGUGACAGUGUUAAGAACACUAGUGUUCAUAACAGUUAAUAAUUAAUAAUAACAACAAUUAACUAGCACUUACUCUGUGCCUUAUACCUUCUUAUUACUUGGUGUACAUUAUCUCAUUUAAUUUUCACAACAACCCUGUAAGGCAGGUAGAUAUUAUUAUCAAUCCCCACUUUCCAGAUGAGGAAAUUAAGGCAUAGAGCUAUAUAUCACUUGUCAGCUUGUAGAGCUGAGAGUGAACCCAGGUGGCCCAGCUCCAGAAUCUGUUUUUUAACCCCUAGGUGAUAACAAGGUAAGACUUCCAGAAAUGUGUCAUCCAGCUCUCUCAAUAGCCAGGUGCAGAAACCAAAGCCAGUAAAAGGACAGAGCCUUACCGAGGCUACCAAUUCAUUCACUCAACAGAGACUAAGCAUCUUCUUCCUGCCAGGCACUGUUCUAGGUCCUAGGGAUACCUUGGUAAUGUAUACCAACAGGUAAAACAACCCUCUACUGCCAAAGAGGUUAUAGGCACUCAAUCCAUCUCUGUCCCCACAGGUGGCCAUGGUGGAGGUACAGCUGGAGAGCAACCACGAAUACCCGCCAGGCCUGCUGGUGGCCUUUAGUGCCUGCACCACCGUGCUAGUGGCUGUGCACCUCUUUGCACUCAUGGUCUCCACCUGUCUGCUGCCCCACAUAGAAGCCGUUAGCAACAUCCACAACCUCAACUCUGUCCACCAGUCUCCACACCAGCGACUCCACCGCUAUGUGGAGCUGGCCUGGGGCUUCUCCACUGCCUUGGGCACCUUCCUUUUCCUCGCUGAAGUUGUUCUGGUUGGCUGGGUCAAGUUUGUGCCCAUUGGCGCACCCUCGGGCACACCAGCCCCUUUGGUACCUGCCUCCCAGGUGCCUGGGACUCUGUCACCAGUGACCACCUCCCUUAGUCCAGCUUCCAAGCCAUCCUUUACUUCUGUAGCCCCAUCACAGGCUGAGCCAUCUGAGGCCUGCCCACCCCGGCAAGCAUGUGUUGGUGGAGGAGCCCAUGGACCAGGCUGGCAAGCAGCUAUGGCCUCCACAGCAAUCAUGGUACCUGUGGGGCUUGUAUUCGUGGCCUUUGCCCUGCAUUUCUAUCGCUCCUUGGUGGCACAUAAGACAGACCGCCACAAGCAAGAGUUAGAGGAGCUGAGUCGCCUGCAGGGGGAGCUGCAGGCUGUGUGAGGCUGAUGUUAACCACUACUGUAAACACUGCCUCCCUCCGGUCUGCAGGAGGACCCAGGUCCACAGACCCCAUUCCUUGCCCCUGCCUGGAGCCACUCCUGUGGCCACUCCCAGGUAGAGACCAGACUCCUGCUUUCUGAGUCCUUUGGGGUGGGCCCCGGGGGCAGCUUUUACAUUCCCAGGGAUUCUCCUCGCUGUCAGUCUAUCCCGGUCUGUCUAUAUCUGGGCUGGGAGGAACAGAGGAGGAAGUAGAAGGUCUUCAGUCCAAGUCUCACGUAGCUAGAGGGGAGGCAGGGAGACCCUGGUCAGACCUUUGGUGCUGACCCUUAACACCUUAACCCUGUACAGGAUGUGGAAGUCAGAGGUUACACACCCACCCAGCUGCCUCAGAAGGUAGCUAACCCUUGCUUUAUUUUUGUAGAAUCUACUUUAUGGUUGGCAUUUUGGGAAAGCUUUUCCCCAUCUCCAGAUUUUGAUGGGUUCCACAUUUUUGCUUUAGUUGCUGAAGAGAAGGAUUUGGGUGUUUCUAACCCAGACAUAGGUCCACUCUUUCCUAGGAGGAGCCUCACUAUUUAUGGAGGUUCAAGUGCCUGCCCCACUGCCCUAGACCCACACUUAAGCUUCUGCGUCUGGUUCUCACUCUCCUGGGCCAGGGCUGGAGAUCUUUGGAGACUGAGGGCCUGUGUGCCCAACCUGACUCUCUAGUAAGGGUUUGGGGUGGGGAGGUUUUAAGGGAGAGGAUCCAGUCACUAGCCCUUGGAAUACAGAGCUAUUCUCACACUGAAUUUUUGAUGCACCUUGUUUUGUAUAAUAAAAUGUGUUUCACAGAUGUCCCUGUAGCUGUGAAUGGGGUGAAGAGGGGGCCUCCUUGGGAUCAGGUGACUUACUCCUAAGAGCCAGGUGGAAGCAGGUGUACCUGGGGGGGGGGGCGCGGAAGAAUGGUUCCAGAUAUGAUCCCCUUCUGGUGCUGGCAGGGACCAGUUAUCUUCGGAUUUGGAGACUGAGUUAUUCCAAGGCUAAAAUUUUUGCACUCUUGUUCUUGGGUCUCCAUCACUUCCAUUGAUGAUUUAGAGUUUCUUUGUAAAGUGUAAGUUUCUUUCUUGAGUGACUACUACAUACUAGGAGCAAGGAUAUCUUAUUUAACCCUCACAACGACCUCAAGAGACAAGUCUUCACCAUUUCCAUUUCAGAGAUAAGGAAACAGGCCCGACAAAGUGGAGGAUCUUGCCCAAAGCAAUGAAAACUUGGACUACCUUUACCAUAACAUGGGAAAUCUCCUUCUGUCUGAUAUAAGAAGCCAAUCAAUACCUUUCAACUGGGACAAGAGAAAGGAAUCUGCUCUUAUCACCAGUGCUUUCAUAUAAAAAUUAGGCUUUCAUGUAAGUCUAAUUUUCCUCAAAAAUUUAAGGGGCUCUAAUCCUCGCUCCUCUAUUCUUAGCAUGAGACCUUGGUCCAGUCCCUCUUUUCUCUUUUCCUGUAACUUAAAAUUGUGAAUUUGUAUGAACCAAGCCUCAGGGUCCUUUCCCGCACUGUUUUUUUUUUUUUUUUAAUGUUUAUUUAUUUUUGAGAGAUAGCUUGAGCAGGGAAGCGGCAGAGAGGGAGAGGGACAGAGGACCGAAAGGGGGCUCCACGCUGACAGCAGAGAGCCCUAUGCAGGACUCGAACUCAUGAAACGCAAGAUCAUGACCCGAGAGGAAGUCAGAAGCUUAACUGACUGAGCCACGCAGGCACCCCUCCUUUACUGUUCUGACUGCUAUAACAUUCCUGUGAGACAGGAAUGAACAUCCAUUUUUCAGAGGAAGAAUCUUAAAUUUUGAGAGGUCAAUGGCUUGCCCAAGGUCACACAGGGAGGAACGAAUGUAGGCAGAGAUGUCUGAAACCUAGAGCAUCCUCAGCUCAAGCAGGGGGUCCUUCUGAGAGUGCGGUUACCCAGAAACCAGGAUGCCCUGCGUCCAAGCGAAAUAAAAAGGUACCCAGCCUCGGCGACGUUAGCGCCUGGGCUGGUGCUGCCCUCCAGCGGUGGGACCACGUAAGCAUAGCCCCCCGCCCGGGCUCCAAGCUGAGGGCACUGGGAGCAUGGUGCUUGGAGAAUCGACCAGCCCAGCCUAGCUCCAGUAGGUACUAGUUUAUUUUUCACGAGACCUGUUCUAAGACCUUUAUGCCCCCCAAGACUUUUCACAGAACUUUGAGGCAGCCUCGAAUUUAAUUACGAAUGGCGGCUCGAUUAUAGGUAAAAUGCGGCACCUUCUGCAGGCCUCAGUCUCCCAAUCUGUCAAAUGGGCAUCUGAAACAGCUGGGGCCCAAGGGGACAGCGAAAGGAAAACGUUCCCGGCAUUGUGUGCGACACCAGGCAAACGGCCUGAGUCACCGCUGUUAGUUGUAUUUUUCCAUCUCCUAGGCGCCCCUCCCAGCCCGCACGGUUUCGGUGGGUCCUACAGGAAGCGCCCCCGCGACGCCGGGCUUUACACGCCCUGGCCACGCCCUCUGCGCGCCGCGCGUUGGCUCCGCCCACAGGAGGAUCCGCAGAUUCGCUAGGCCAGCUCUUCAGAAUUACUUGGGCCUCUCUAUACCAGGCUGGAAAUUCUCAUCGGCCUCCGAGAGCAGCUUUGGGCUGUAGCCAUUUCUCCGGGGUCGAAAUUGGGCAUUCCCCAAGCUCUGCUAGUAAGAAAGAUCCGGGAAAAGUGGCCAACUCUGCCAACGGGGCUUGGCUAACCAGGCAUUAUUUUCUUGACUCCACCAAGGCGGGUGAAGGGAGGCGACAGCUGAGGCCAGGACCACAGGACCUGUGGCGAAUCUGCAGCCUUUCAGGCCUUUGGCCGCACAAGGAAGGGGCAGGAAAGAAGAGCAAAGGAGCGCGCAUCCCAUCCACCGAUUCGCCCCGCCCGCCUGACGAAUCUGCGCCUGUUCAACGCGCCACUCAAAUCUCCCCAGCUCUGGCUGGCCUCCUCCCCUCCGCCCCGCCCCCUUUUCCUCAGGGAUUAGUCGCUGCUUUCGUCGCCGCCGAUUCGUCAAGGACCCCAGGCCAGAGCAGCUGGGUAGUCGUGGUGAAGCCCACUCUCCGGGGAAUGCGGCCAAUCUCCAGGCUCCCUGGGCCGCAACUCUGGAGCCUUAAAGGGCGCCGGCCGAGGCGAAGCCGCUUUCCUCGGCCCCGUGGGUCUCCCGGCGGCACCCGUGGCGAAAGUGCGAAUGUAGACGCUGUGCCCGCUGGGCCUCGCGCAGGUGGCGGUGGUGUUUGGUGCGCGCGCCGGGGAGGUGGUGGUGGGGGGGCGCCGCCGCCGCCACCGCUGCGGGGCCGGGUCUCGCGCUGCCGCCGCCGCCGCCGCCGCCGCCUCGCGCCGCUGAGGUGCCGCGCGGGGUGGGGGGAGGGGGAGCCGCUCGCCACGAGCGGGUGAGUGAGGCCUCGCCGCGCGUGCGCGGAGAUGGGGGGGCAGAACGCGCCGGGGCGGGAGGAGAGGGCAGCGGCGCGCGUUCCCCCCCCCCCCCCCCCCCCGCCCGGAUUCGGGGCCGAAGCCGGGUCUCGAGCUCGGUCUCGCGGUGUUUCCAACGCCCCGAAGAGGUGCCACCUCUUGGCCAGAGAGGAUCGGGGCGCGGGGACGCAAGCGGGUGUGUGGGAGCGAGAGCCGGGCUUGGCCCGGGCCGCUGGCCGGUGAGGAGGCGGGAGGGGGCGGGGCCUGCCAGGGGGCGGGGGAGGGGUCUUGCUCUGAGGCCAAGUGGGGCGCGCGCUAAGCAGAGCGGGAAGGUAAGGGGGCGCGAGAUGGGCCUGGGGGCCUGAGGGGAGAGUUGGGAGGUGGAGAGAGAAUGGGGUGUUGUGAGAGAGGGCACUUGGGGGAAAAUCUGGGGGAGCCACGGGUCAUGGUGAGGUGUGGAAACUGGGGUGAUGAGCGGACCUGAAGUCUGGGCUGGUCGGUGAGGGGCAGCAAGGGGGUCAGGCCUAAGCCCUGAACCCCCUUGCCUAUUCCUCUUUCCUGACAGUGUAAAUGAGCAAAGAUGGAUCAGGAAGGUGGGGGAGAUGGGCAGAAAGCCCCGAGCUUCCAGUGGCGGAACUACAAGCUCAUCGUGGAUCCUGCCUUGGACCCUGCCUUGCGCAGGCCUUCUCAAAAGGUGUACCGCUAUGAUGGAGUCCACUUCAGUGUCAACGUGAGUGCCCCAGGCCUUGUCAUCUAGGGAACUCCAGGCCCCAUUCUCCUCUGUUACCUCUGUUCAGCAUCCUGAACUCCCAUACCCAUAGACUGCCUUUCUUAAAAGUGUGCAACCAGAACUCAGCUCUUUUGCAUGUGAGUCUCCAAAUGGGCUUCCUAGAACUCAACAGUUUCACCUUGAGCUGUCUUUCUGUUCCUGCUUUCAUUCCUAGGACUCAAAAUACAUACCAGUCGAAGACCUCCAAGACCCCCGAUGCCACGUCAGGUCCAAAAACAGAGACUUUUCCCUCCCAGUCCCUAAGUUUAAGGUAUGUAUCUGCUAGACCCUGGUGUGGUGGCCCUUGGGAGGUGUGGAGGAUCCAUCCUGGCAGUUUUUGUCUCAACAUAACCUGAUAAAAGUGGUUUUCCUAUGAAAGGAUCACAACCAAGUCUUAAAAGCUCGGAGGCUGUGAGACUGAGUUGUUCUGGAGAGGAGUUGUGUUUAUCUUCUAGAAAGUUAUAGGUUAGGUGUCUCAAGCAGGAGUGCUGACUUCUUGAAGGAUGAAGUAAAGGCACAUUUCUUUGCUGUACCUAUCACUGUGUAGUCCGUGUCACAGCAUGACAGUGCCCUGGUGUGAUAUGCCAGUUUCUCAACAAUUAAGGGUAGCGACAAGGCCAGGAACGCCAUCCUUGGAGUUCUCUGCUCUUCACCCCUCGUUUGGUGCCUUGAUCCAUCUUGUUUUCUCAAAGUAUUCCUCUUUCCCUGUGUAGGCAGGAUACUCAUCAGGCCUUGGACUGGCUCUUGAAAACUGAUGGGUCUUGGUUUUCUUCACUAAUUCUUUAUUCUUCUUUAUUAAAUAAAUAUUUGUAAGGUUUCCACUCCAUUUUUUUCACUUUGUGUAUUCUCCCUGGACAGUCUCUUUCACAUACACGAUUUGGAUUGUUACUGAGACAUGGUGAUUUCUAAAUUUCUGUUUCCAGCCAAGAUCAGUCUCUUGAACUCCAGACUUUUAUGCCUGGUAGAGGGACAGCUCCAUCUGGAGGCCCCACAGACAUCUCAAACUCAAGAGGUUGAAAAGAAGUUCUCUUUACUCCUUCAUCCUGCUUUCCUUUCCAUUUCCCUUUUACUGAUGAAUGGUAAUACCAUGUACUUAGCUGCACAAACUAGGAACCUGGGAGUCAUCCUAUGAUUGUUCUCUUUUUUAUUACAUAAUCUAUCACCAAGUCUUGCUGAUUCUUUUCUAAACACAUUUCCUUUUUAUUUUAAUUCUUUUGUUUCCAUUGCUGAUUUUCUAACACAAUUUCUGUAUUCAUUUUAUGGGGUUUCUUGCCUCCAUUCUCUUUUCCCAUUUCAUGCUCCACCACAGAUGGCUCCUGCCAUUUGUAUUUUUUAUUUGGCUUUUACAUUACUUUUGUUGUCCAUGUUUUUGUGCAUUGGCACAUAUGAUUAUAGAUUUGGCUAAGCCUCAUCUCCUGCCUUGAUGCUGUAUAUCUGUGUUGUACUAUAUACGUUUUGCAGUUUCUAGAAAAUGCCAAGUUACUUUAUAGUUUCAUGCCUUAAGUCCUUGUCACCUCUUGAACUCUUGUUACCCAAAAAGUCAAAUAGGAGUGACACCAUCUUUGUGAAUUCUUCCUUGCCUCCACUCGGAACAACACUUUUCUUCUCUGGGUUCCUAAACACCCUGUCUACACUUUUGUGAACAUUUGUGUCACAACAGUGACUACGUAUAUAUGUCUUGUCUGCUUUCCUGAACAAGAAUCUUUUUUUUUUCAUCUUUGUAAUUCUGUUGCCCAGUCCAUGGUAAAAGCUGAACUACUAAAUUAUUUUCUACAAUUAAUUUCUUUGACGUAUACUUAUUUCUCAGUUGUACGUUUCUUUUCCUGAUUUCUUGUAUUAUUCUGUGAUGAGAAGAACUCAGAGCAGAGAGAGGUCAGACUGACGUAUCUAUCACCUGUUGGAGCCCCUCUUCCCCAUUCCUUUGCCCGUGUUUCCCAGUCGUCUCUCUCUGAACCAAGUUCCCAAAAGGCAAAGGAACAGUAGUCAGUAUUGAGACCCCAGACUCAAGACUCCUGUCUUCUCCACAGCUGGAUGAGUUCUAUAUCGGACAGAUCCCUCUGAAGGAAGUGACUUUCGCGAGGCUGAAUGACAAUGUGCGGGAGACCUUCUUAAAGGAUAUGUGCCGAAAGUAUGGUGAGGUGGAAGAGGUAGAGAUCCUUCUUCACCCCCGUACUCGCAAGCACCUGGGCCUGGCCCGCGUGCUCUUCACUAGCACUCGGGGAGCCAAGGAAACAGUCAAAAACCUCCACCUUACCUCCGUCAUGGGCAACAUCAUCCACGCCCAGCUCGACAUCAAAGGUGAGGGCUCUCUUGCCUACUGCCUAAGGUUGGGUUCCAGCAGAGACUUUAUAUGCAAAUGCCUGUUGGGGCCAGGUGAAUGAUCAGGUUCAUGAUUCCUCAUCUGCAGUUCUUGGAGCCACAUGUGUUUGUGAAAUCAGAAUUUUACAGAGGGAUUGUGGUUUUUAUGUGUUUCGUGUGUGGGGGGGGUCCUUGGCAAGGUUGGGUAGCAUCUUACAGUCUAGCAUGUAACAUGUUUGUAAGAAAACAUAUGAAGGGUUAUACUAGGUAGCAUCAAUAAAACCUAGUAAAUAGCCUCAGUUCAGAUCAAGUUUUGAGACGAAAUUCAAAAAAAUGUUUGGUUUUAAGUUUUGGGGGGUUUUGAAAUUUUGGAUCGAGAAUAGGGACCUGUACAGAUAAGUGAAGCAGUCUGGGUUUCUGUGUUGAGAAACAGUAGGGAGGAGUCGGGGACUGUAGAGUACACUGUCAUCUGAAGGAGACGGCUAUUAGUUGGUAUUAGCCAGUUUGCACUUGGGAAUGAAAACUGUUGCCAAAUAAUGUUUUUAUAUUAAGCCAGGAAUCUAGGUUUUUGUGUGAAAUCUCAUUGUUUUUAAGUGCUGAAAAUCCCUCCCCCCCCCCCCCCCCCCCCCCCGCCAAAUUUUUAAGUGAUUGUGUAGGGCAAAUAAAACACAACUGUGGCCUGGAUUUAGCCCUCAGGCUGCCAUUUUGCAACCUUUAGUUUGUAGGAAGAAGAGCAUGGUGGGAUCUAGCAUCAGACGACCUGGGUUUGAAUUCCAGUCUGCCACUGACCAACUUUGUGACUUUGUGCAGGUCAAUUUUCUUUGAGCCUAUAAAAUAGGGGUACUGAUGCCUUUCUCUCCUGGUGAUUAUCCAACUUAGAUUACUAAUUUAUGAGUGAAGAUGUUUGAUUAUAGAUUGUAAAGUGCCGUUCAGUAUGUUGUUGUAUUAUUAGGUAGAGAUGAGGUAGGAGGUCCCAAAGGUAGAGACAAGGUGGAAGACCUGAAAUCCCUGAACUCAGGACUCCAAGAAAUUAUAGGAAACUUGAGGCCUGAGAAAGAAAUGGGAAAGCCAAAGAAGGAAGGAGUUGUUUCUUCCAUCUGACUCUUGAUGGCUCCCAUUUUCCUCCCUCCAGGACAACAACGAAUGAAAUACUAUGAACUGAUAGUCAAUGGCUCCUACACCCCUCAGACGGUGCCCACUGGGGGCAAGGCGCUGAGCGAGAAGUUCCAGGGCUCUGGUGCAGCCACUGAGACGGUAAGAAGCUUGUUGCCACAGCCCUAGCCACGUGGGCACAGUGCCUGGGUGCCAGGAACAGUAUUUGGGAGGUUCGGGACUUCCAUUAAGGAUGGCAAGAGCCAAGAAAAGAUGCAGAGAUGCUUUCAAAAGACAGGGAACUGAGGUUCUUGGUUUGGGGAAGGGCAAGUUGUUGUAUGGUACUUGAUGUCUUCUUUUCUCCAUGCUCUACUUUUGCCCUCUAGACUGAAUCCCGCCGCCGCUCCUCCUCUGACACGGCUGCUUACCCGGUGGGCUCUGCUGGGGUGGGCACUCCUGGCAAUGGCACCCCCUGCUCCCAGGACACAAGCUUCUCCAGCAGCCGACAAGACACCCCAUCUUCCUUUGGCCAAUUCACCCCUCAGUCCUCCCAAGGAACCCCUUACACAUCUCGGGGCAGCACCCCCUACUCUCAGGACUCUGCCUACUCCAGCAGGUGCAGAGUAAACACUCUCUGGGACCCCCAGAUUCUGGGAGUUGACACUAGAAAGAAGAAACCUGGAGUCUCCCUAAAAGGGAGUCGGGAGUAAUUUGUCCUGGUUUCUCUUAUGGAUUCAGCCAACGGAAUCCCUGUCCACAGGGAACCCCCUGUCUAGCUAGAAACCCAACAGAUCUUCCUUUGGGGGCAGUGUCAAGGGCGCCUGGGUACUGAGAACCAGGACACUAGGGUUUGGUCCUACAGAACUGAACCUAGCUAACUCCUGCACUCUUUCUCCAGCACCACUUCAACCUCCUUCAAGCCUCGGCGGUCAGAGAAUAGCUACCAAGAUUCUUUUUCCCGCCGCCAUUUCUCUGCAUCUUCAGCCCCCACGACCACCUCUACAGCUGCCUCCGCCACUACUGCAGCCACUGCCUCGUCCUCCUCCUCAUCUUCCUCCUCCUCUUCGUUGUCCUCGUCCUCUUCAUCCUCCUCUUCGUCCUCAUCCUCUCAUUUUCGUGGUACUGACUCAAACUACCCAGCGUACUAUGAAAGCUGGAAUCGCUACCAACGCCAUGCUUCCUACCCUCCCCGCCGCGCAACUCGGGAGGAGCCCCCUGGGGCAUCUUUUGCUGAAAAUGCAGCUGAGCGCUUCCCACCUUCCUACACCUCCUACUUGCCCCCUGAGCCCAGCCGGCCUGCUGACCAGGACUACCGGCCUCCUGCCUCAGAAGCUCCACCCCCGGAGCCUCCAGAACCUGGUGGAGGCGGGGGUGGGGGAGGGCCCAGCCCUGAGAGAGAAGAAGCUCGGACCUCCCCCCGCCCAGCCUCACCUGCCCGCUCCGGCUCCCCAGCCCCAGAGACCACCAAUGAGAGUGUGCCCUUCGCUCAGCAUAGCAGCUUGGAUUCCCGCAUUGAGAUGUUGCUGAAGGAGCAGCGCUCCAAGUUUUCGUUCCUGGCCUCUGACACAGAGGAAGAGGAAGAGAACAGCACCACAGGCCCUGGGUCUAGAGACAUAGGGAGUGAGGUGCCUUCUGGGUCAGGUCAUGGGCCCUGCACGCCCCCUCCAGCCCCAGCUAAUUUUGAGGAUGUGGCACCUACAGGGAGUGGGGAACCAGGGGUUACCCGGGAGUCUCCCAAGGCCAACGGACAGAACCAGGUGAGGUUGGGGUUAGCCAGCAGAGAUGACUGGGAUCUGGGAGGCAGGGUUGGGUCUGGUGGGGUGGGGGAGGGAAUUAGAUAAGAGAACAGGGAUUUGAGGAAAAGCCCAUGGAAAAGGCAGAAGUUUCAUGUGACCCUCUGCACUCCUACAGGCUUCUCCGUGCUCUUCGGGAGAGGAUAUGGAGAUCUCUGAUGAUGACAGGGGCGGUUCACCCCCUCCGGCCCCAACACCCCCCCAGCAGCCUCCACCCCCUCCUCCACCACCCCCUCCUCCUCCUCCCUACCUGGCUUCCCUACCCCUUGGUUAUCCUCCCCACCAGCCUGCCUACCUCCUCCCACCACGCCCUGAUGGGCCACCACCCCCUGAGUACCCCCCACCUCCUCCGCCACCCCCCCACAUUUAUGACUUUGUGAAUUCCCUAGAGCUCAUGGAUCGACUUGGGGCUCAGUGGGGAGGGAUGCCCAUGUCCUUCCAGAUGCAGACCCAGAUGUUAACUCGGCUCCAUCAGCUGCGGCAGGGCAAGGGAUUGACUGCUGCCUCAGCUGGCCCCCCUGGUGGGGCCUUUGGGGAGGCCUUCCUCCCAUUCCCACCCCCCCAAGAGGCAGCCUACGGCUUACCCUACGCUCUGUACACACAAGGGCAAGAAGGCCGAGGGGCAUACUCCCGGGAGGCAUACCACCUGCCUUUGCCCAUGGCAGCUGAGCCCCUGCCCUCCUCCUCGGUCUCUGGAGAAGAGGCCCGGCUACCUCCCAGGGAGGAAGCAGAGCUGGCAGAGGGCAAGGCCCUACCGUCAGCAGGCACCGUGGGGCGUGUGCUGGCCACCCUAGUCCAAGAGAUGAAGAGCAUCAUGCAGCGAGACCUCAACCGCAAGAUGGUGGAGAAUGUGGCCUUUGGAGCCUUUGACCAGUGGUGGGAGAGCAAGGAAGAGAAGGCCAAGGUGAGGGCCAGUGCUUGGGACUAGGGAAAACCUGGGGCUCCAUUGGAGGAAGUAGACUUCUGGCUUUUCCAGGCUACACAGCUCAAAGUAAAAAAUAGAGACGAUCAAGGCAAGUGGAGAGAGAGACUGUGUAGCCACUUGAUGGGGCACAGUGGUUGAGCAGGAGAACUGGGGCAAAUGGAACAGUAGGAAAGCAUAAGUUUGAGGGGCCUCUGGGUGGUUCAGUCGGUUAAGUGUCCAACUCUUGAUUUUGGCUCAGGUCAUGAGCUCAGGGUUGUGAGAUGGAGCCCCGCAUCGGGCUCUACACUGGGCAUGGAGCCUGCUUAAGAUAUUCUCUUUCUCUCUCUCUCGCUCGCUUGCUUGCAGAAAAACAAAACAAACAUAAGCUUUAGAGUCAGAGGAGCUUUGUUCUAGCUCUACUGUUUGCAUGCUUCUGGCAGACGAGGCCCUUAAGUCUCUCUGGGCUUCAGUCUUCAAUGUGUCCAUCUGUAGACUAGGAAUAAUAAAGGGGGAUGGACUCAAUGAGCAGACUUGGAAGAAAUGUCUGUACGGGGGCUGGUGCAAGGGGGGUGUGGCAUAGAUCUGUGUCAAAUAGAGGAGUGAGUAGAUGCAUUUCUGUAUUCCUGGGACCUGGGAGUAGUUCUCAGGCAGGAGGCAGGAGGGAACGCCUGGGUUCUGGGGCUCAGUCCCCCUACUGCCCGCAGCCAUUCCAGAACGCAGCCAAACAGCAAGCCAAGGAGGAGGAUAAAGAGAAGACAAAACUCAAAGAGCCAGGCCUGCUGUCCCUCGUAGACUGGGCCAAGAGUGGGGGUACCACGGGCAUCGAGGCCUUCGCUUUUGGGUCAGGGCUGCGAGGGGCCCUGCGGCUGCCUUCUUUCAAGGUACCCAGAACUGGUCUUGCCUAGUAGGGAGGAGACAGCAGGGUGGGAGUUCCCUUCCUUGGGGUAGGGGUGGUUGGGAACCAUGAGAGUUUGAGUUCUAAACAGGCUCCGUCUCUUUCGGCGCCCCAGGUAAAGCGAAAAGAGCCUUCGGAAAUUUCAGAGGCCAGUGAGGAAAAGAGGCCCCGGCCCUCCACUCCAGCUGAGGAGGAUGAAGAUGGUGAGUGGGAAGUCAGAUGGAAGGAGAAAAGGGAAAGGGUGCUAGCUUCUGAUAGGAAAGUAAUAAGCAGAGGUAAAGGGUGAAGAUGUCAGAGGGCAAGUAGCCAAGUAGAGGUUUUGGUGCAAGGUUAAAUGAAAGCAGUUCUGAGAUGUGUGAGAAGCUUAAGAUGGGGUCAUUCCUGGGUUCUAGUUGUGGUUCUUACUCUGGCGUGCUGAUUGAAGUUUUCUGUAUUUCAGUUUUCCCCUGUAAAAUGGAAAUACUUUCAACAUUUAGAGUCGUAGGAUUUCAGGGUUUAACAGGUCAUCGGCCCAAGUUCCCCAUCUAAAGCUCUUCUGCAACCUCCCUCCCAGUUUCCCUAAGUCUGAGCUAUUGGUUGACAGCUUACGUGGCUAGGAAACUUCCUUACUGAGUCCGAUUUGCUUCCCUGGAGACCCAUUUACCUUAGUACUGUUUUCUUGGUCAGGCAUAACAAGUCCUCUCCCUCUUCCACCCAACCCAGAAAAGGAUGAAAGGUAAAACGGGUGCAGUAUGUUUAAACUCUAUAAAAUGUUAUAGGUAGCUCUGGGGUUUUGGGUUUUUCUCUGUUGAGCUUCAGCUUCUUGUCUGUAAAAUGAGGUCUGUCUUGUCGGACUGUCAGGAAGAUCAGCAGUGGUGUGUGCAAAAGCUCCUUUGGGCCAGGGGAACGGGGACUGUUAACUGCUGAUGGUAAAUUGCUCUAACGGCCACUCACAUGCACCUAGACCCUGAGCGAGAGAAGGAGGCUGGAGAGCCGGGACGUCCGGGAACCAAGCCCCCAAAACGAGAUGAAGAGCGAAGCAAGACCCAGGGCAAGCACCGCAAAUCCUUUGCUCUGGACAGUGAGGGGGAGGAAGCAUCCCAGGAGUCCUCCUCAGAGAAGGUGAGGGGCGCCCGGUUCUUGCCAAAAGCCCACUUGCUGAGUUCCUGUCACCACAGCCACCUUCUCUCUGGGCUGGAGCCCAGGUAGCUGUGCCUCCGGGAGGACAGUUGUUCUUCUCCUGUUAGUCCCUGUUUGUCCUUUUCUUUAAGGAUGAGGAGGAGGAUGAGGAAGAUGAAGACGACGAAGAACGUGAGGAAGCCAUGGAUACUACAAAGAAGGAGACAGAGGCAUCAGAUGGUAGGUACAGACAGAACACAGUAGAAUUCUGGCUCAGGGAAGAAGGAAUUCAGCUGCCUGUCUGUCGCUUCCCUGAGUCCACAGAAAUUUCAUGCUAGAUUUAUUGGCCACCUUUGCCUUUCCCAAAAGCAGCUGUCCUUUAGUCCUAUCCUUUGGAACGCUUGGCCCAUUAUAAACAGUAAGUCCAAUACCCAGAACACUCCCUUCUGCUUACCUCCUAUACUGAAACUUUGCUCCUUUCUGAAGACAGCCUAGCAGAAUGUACUUAAUUUGCCCAACCCCUCAAGAUAAGUGGUCCAUGUUCUCCUGCCAGCCCUUGAUAACUACCAGACCAUGCCUUUCUGCCUUUGAGCACUGCUCUUCCUUUAAGGUCCAGCCACCGAACCAUGCUUCCCCUUCCUCCCCUCUCCCCUUAGCUGCCAUCACCAGACACUGCUCUGCUCUUCAGUUGAACACCUCCUCCCUCCAUAUCCGUUGAGUCUUGGAUAUACGGUUUAGUCUUUCUUCUCAUUCAUUUGUUCAGAAAUCGCUGUUGAGCCUCUACUGUGUACCAGGCGCUGUUCUGGGUAUUGGGGACACAUCUUUCAUGCAACUUGUGAUCAGUUGGAGGGGAGGAGGAGACUUGACGAGUGAACAGAUAAUAGCACCUCAGAGAUACAUACGUUGCAGAAGAGAAACUAGGUUACUGGGGUAGAGAGUAACGGGUGGGGGAGCUGGGGAAAGAUGGGCUGUUCUAGAGCUGUUGGAGAAGGAGUGCCUCUGAGAGGUGCCAUUUCAGCAGAGGCCAGAUGGGAGAAUGAUGAUCUGAGAGCCUAUCUUUUCAGGAAAGAAGAGGGUAGGGUCACCUCCUCUAAGGGGGCAGACUGUUGUACAUCCAUUUUGUCACUGCUUUCUGUCAGUUUCACCACCUCAGUGUUUCUUGGAUUUGUUGCCUUCAUUGUUCCUGCUGUUCUGUCUUUUCUCAGUUAGAGUGUUCUGCAGCAGUUUUGAUUGAUUACCUCGUCUUUGUUUCCAUCCUUCUUCCUCCAUUCCAAUCCAUUUUCCAGUCUGCCAAUGGCAUUUUCUUUUCUUCAGCGAACACCUGACCCUGUGACUUCCUCCAUAAAGUCGAUUCCUAGCGCCCUAUUUUCUAUAAGAUGACUCUUCCUCUUGAUACGUUAGGCCAUUUAUAACCUAGCUCCCAUUUAUCUGUUCAGCUCUAUCUUGCCAUUCUCCAGACCCAUCCUUGGCCACCAGCACUGUCUAUUCUAAUUUAUCCAGUUGUGUUCCUCAGACACUUCAAAUUUCUUAACUUCUUACAGAAUUCUUCCAGUGUAUUGCCCUUUCCCAGAGGCAUAAAACAUAUAUUUUUAAAGCUUCUUUUAUCCUACAGUCCUUUUUAUGAGUCUGUCGUCUAGGCGGCAUUUAUAAGACCCACUUUGGGAAAAGCUUAAAGCAGACCGCUUACUGGUCUCCAGGUGUCUCACCUUCCCUCACCUUUGACAUCCCUGUUCAGCCCUCGUGUCUGCUUAGUGUACUUUUUUUUUUUUAAUGUUUAUUCAUUUUUCAAAGAGAGACUGAAUGUGA
This 19393-nucleotide long non-coding RNA is filed under the name Lynx pardinus (Iberian lynx). The record is from RNAcentral. Lineage: Eukaryota; Metazoa; Chordata; Mammalia; Carnivora; Felidae.